UUUUGUCAACUGGGGUGGAAGUGCCAUUAUUGAUUCUAGCAACUUGCAAUCUCUUAAACCAAGGUAUUGCAGCUCCGUAAGCAUGCUGAUGCUAUGAGGUAAAUGAAGAAAAGGGUUUCCACUUAGAUCUAAUACUUCCAGUGAGAAUAAGCUGCCGAUGCAGUCGGGAAUCCAGGACAUCCCACAACCAGUUAGAUAUAG
RNAcentral lists this unclassified non-coding RNA (201 nucleotides) under Hevea brasiliensis (rubber tree). Lineage: Eukaryota; Viridiplantae; Streptophyta; Magnoliopsida; Malpighiales; Euphorbiaceae. The record is from RNAcentral.